RNAcentral lists this ribosomal RNA (418 nucleotides) under bacterium enrichment culture clone ALO1_GLFRUDD03FN7LH. RNAcentral describes it as "bacterial SSU rRNA". It matches the Rfam family "Bacterial small subunit ribosomal RNA", at positions 9 to 429 of the family's 1533-position model. The record is from RNAcentral.
GAGUUUGAUCUUGGCUCAGAUUGAACGCUGGCGGCAUGCCUUACACAUGCAAGUCGAACGGCAGCACGGGAGCUUGCUCCUGGUGGCGAGUGGCGAACGGGUGAGUAAUGCAUCGGAACGUAUCCUGGAGUGGGGGAUAACGUAGCGAAAGUUACGCUAAUACCGCAUAUUCUGUGAGCAGGAAAGCGGGGGGACCUUCGGGCCUCGCGCUCUUGGAGCGGCCGAUGUCGGAUUAGCUAGUUGGUGAGGUAAAGGCUCACCAAGGCGACGAUCCGUAGCAGGUCUGAGAGGAUGAUCUGCCACACUGGAACUGAGACACGGUCCAGACUCCUACGGGAGGCAGCAGUGGGAAUUUUGGACAAUGGGGGCAACCCUGAUCCAGCCAUGCCGCGUGAGUGAAGAAGGCCUCGGUUGUAAG